UAGGGAAUCUUCGGCAAUGGACGAAAGUCUGACCGAGCAACGCCGCGUGAGUGAAGAAGGUUCUCGGAUCGUAAAACUCUGUUGUUAGAGAAGAACAAGGACGUUAGUAACUGAACGUCCCCUGACGGUAUCUAACCAGAAAGCCACGGCUAACUACGUGCCAGCAGCCGCGGUAAUACGUAGGUGGCAAGCGUUGUCCGGAUUUAUUGGGCGUAAAGCGAGCGCAGGCGGUUUCUUAAGUCGGAUGUGAAAGCCCCCGGCUCAACCGGGGAGGGUCAUUGGAAACUGGGAGACUUGAGUGCAGAAGAGGAGAGUGAAAUUCCAUGUGUAGCGGUGAAAUGCGUAGAUAUAUGGAGGAACACCAGUGGCGAAGGCGGCUCUCUGAUCUGUAACUGACGCUGAGGCUCGAAAGCGUGGGGAGCAAACAGG
Molecule: ribosomal RNA, 429 nt
Filed under: Gemmatimonadota bacterium
Lineage: Bacteria; Pseudomonadati; Gemmatimonadota
Description: Gemmatimonadetes bacterium partial 16S ribosomal RNA
Rfam family: Bacterial small subunit ribosomal RNA
Source: RNAcentral